This 500-nucleotide long non-coding RNA is filed under the name Monodelphis domestica (gray short-tailed opossum). Its description in RNAcentral is "lncRNA (ENSMODG00000049456.1)". The record is from RNAcentral. Lineage: Eukaryota; Metazoa; Chordata; Mammalia; Didelphimorphia; Didelphidae.
AAAAAAAAAGGAAUGAAUACAAAAGAGACCCUUCAUUCUGAUGAUUCCAUCUCCCUCCAGGGCUUAGACCUCCAGACAUGGUGACCUUCUGUGGUUGAGAAGCCUGCAAAGGGAAAAGGAUUUGAAGAUGAUAAAAGGAGCACCCAUCCUUUGCUGUCAGGAGUCACUAGGCUGUUUUUUCCCUUGGAGACUUGGAUACAUCUAUGAUCUCAACAACGUGGGUUACCCCUCCACUAACAAAGAUGGCUGGUGUGACCUCUGUCUUCUCAUCUUCAGGCAGGCAGAUGCCCAUCUUGACUCCAUCCUGAAGAACACUGUGUUAAGCAUCAAUGGAAGCAUCAUUUGCUUAUUAAGUUUUCUUAUGUAUGAAGACCUCUCAGAGUUCCUCAGAGAUGUGGUCCUUUGACUCUACAUCUUUCUACAUGGUGAUGUUUUUAUGUGCUUGUUUCUCUGACUCAUUAAACUCACCAGCAAGUAAAUUCUCCAGGUACUAGCAGCAC